Molecule: transfer RNA, 23 nt
Filed under: Pristimantis sp. SBH-2008
Lineage: Eukaryota; Metazoa; Chordata; Amphibia; Anura; Strabomantidae
Description: partial tRNA-Phe
Source: RNAcentral
UGGGUCUUCAAAAGCCCCCUAAA